CAGGCGAGCGUUGUUCAAAGGCAGGAACGAGACGGUACACUGACUGACCGGUUAGUGCUUCUGAGGCACGUAACACCAGCUGAACAACCUGGUUGACGACGCCAAUCUAUUCCCGACACGUUAGGGAGAGGGUGGAAGAGACAAGAAUACCGGGGGUUGACACACAUCAGUGAGUCAUCAGAGUCCCAGGCGGGCCCAUCUGCGCGUCACAUGUUCGCCUGGCUACGUCAGGUUCCGUUUAACCGAGAACUCGAAAUAACCGAACGGACUUGCUCGAUGUUUUUCAAAUUCAGCAAGAUUUGAUACACUAUAUUUGUUUCCCUCUUCUCCAUGUUUAAAAAACAGCUUAGAAAUAGUAAGAGUACUAUUAGCAUUCAACUCGAGACUAUGUAGCUGAAAUAUUUAGGUAUAUUAAAAAGAAAUAACUGGGAAUGAUUCGGAUACGAGAUAUCAACCUGCAUUGACAUUAACUUUUAUUGACAGUUCAAAUACCUCUUACCACUAAAUUUAAUACACAUCACAUACUUUCUUAUUGUAAUAUAACCAUUAGGAAUAUAUACAAAAAGCCAUUAUAAGGGAACUCGUAUUAUGUACGGCGAUACAUUGAAAAUUUGUAUUCUGAGAUGAAUAAUAAAAGAAUAUCUAAG
Molecule: long non-coding RNA, 647 nt
Organism: Vollenhovia emeryi
Lineage: Eukaryota; Metazoa; Arthropoda; Insecta; Hymenoptera; Formicidae
Exons: 2
Source: RefSeq, a predicted model, not a curated record